This 821-nucleotide ribosomal RNA is filed under the name uncultured marine ciliate. RNAcentral describes it as "SSU rRNA". It matches the Rfam family "Eukaryotic small subunit ribosomal RNA", at positions 441 to 1283 of the family's 1831-position model. Lineage: Eukaryota; Ciliophora. The record is from RNAcentral.
UUACCCAAUCCUGAUUCAGGGAGGUAGUGACAAGAAAUAUAAACCCGGGGAUCUAGUAUCUUACGGGAUUUAAAUGAGAACAAUUUAAAUCACUUAGCGAGGAACAAUUGGAGGGCAAGUCUGGUGCCAGCAGCCGCGGUAAUUCCAGCUCCAAUAGCGUAUAUUAAAGUUGUUGCAGUUAAAAAGCUCGUAGUUGAAUUUCUGGUCAAUUUUAGUCUUGGCUUCGGUCGGGCUAAGGUUGGCCAUCCGUCUGCAAGCUAUUCUCGGCCUUCAUUGGUUCGGAUUAGCGAGCUGACAUUUUACUUUGAAAAAAUUAGAGUGUUUCAGGCAGGCUUUUGCCCGAAUACAUUAGCAUGGAAUAAUGGAAUUGGACUCUGGUCCAUUUGGUUGGUUAUUGGAUCUGAGUAAUGGUUAAUAGGGACAGUUGGGGGCAUUAGUAUUUAAUUGUCAGAGGUGAAAUUCUUGGAUUUAUUAAAGACUAACUUAUGCGAAAGCAUUUGCCAAGGAUGUUUUCAUUAAUCAAGAACGAAAGUUAGGGGAUCAAAGACGAUCAGAUACCGUCCUAGUCUUAACUAUAAACUAUACCGACUCGGAAUUGGUAGGGUAUUAUAGCUCUAUCAGCACCGUAGGAGAAAUCAGAGUCUUUGGGUUCUGGGGGGAGUAUGGUCGCAAGGCUGAAACUUAAAGGAAUUGACGGAAGGGCACCACCAGGAGUGGAGCCUGCGGCUUAAUUUGACUCAACACGGGGAAACUUACCAGGUCAAAACAUGGGUGGGAUUGACAGAUUGAGAGCUCUUUCUUGAUUAUGUGGGUGGUGGUGC